CAGCAGCAGCCGCGGGAAUACGGAGGGGGCUAGCGUUGUUCGGAAUUACUGGGCGUAAAGCGCACGUAGGCGGCUUUGUAAGUUAGAGGUGAAAGCCCGGAGCUCAACUCCGGAAUUGCCUUUAAGACUGCAGAGCUAGCAGGUGAGAGAGGUGAGUGGAAUUCCGAGUGUAGAGGUGAAAUUCGUAGAUAUUCGGAAGAACACCAGUGGCGAAGGCGGCUCACUGGCUCAUACUGGACGCUGAGGUGCGAAAGCGUGGGGAGCAAACAGGAUUAGAUACCCCCGUAGUCCCUGUCUCUUAUAC
This 304-nucleotide ribosomal RNA is filed under the name uncultured bacterium. RNAcentral's name for it is "partial 16S ribosomal RNA". It matches the Rfam family "Bacterial small subunit ribosomal RNA", at positions 506 to 807 of the family's 1533-position model. The record is from RNAcentral.